Molecule: ribosomal RNA, 242 nt
Filed under: uncultured bacterium
Lineage: Bacteria
Description: partial 16S ribosomal RNA
Rfam family: Bacterial small subunit ribosomal RNA
Source: RNAcentral
GAUCCUGGCUCAGGAUGAACGCUAGCUACAGGCUUAACACAUGCAAGUCGAGGGGCAGCAUGAUUGAAGCUUGCUUCAAUCGAUGGCGACCGGCGCACGGGUGAGUAACACGUAUCCAACCUGCCGAUAACUCGGGGAUAGCCUUUCGAAAGAAAGAUUAAUACCCGAUAGCAUAGUUUCCCCGCAUGGGGUUACUAUUAAAGGAUUCCGGUUAUCGAUGGGGAUGCGUUCCAUUAGGCGAG